CCUACGGGAGGCAGCAGUGGGGAAUUUUGGACAAUGGGCGCAAGCCUGAUCCAGCCAUGCCGCGUGUGUGAAGAAGGCCUUCGGGUUGUAAAGCACUUUCAGCGAGGAGGAAGGGGUGAGUGUUAAUAGUACUCAUCUUUGACGUUACUCGCAGAAGAAGCACCGGCUAACUCUGUGCCAGCAGCCGCGGUAAU
RNAcentral lists this ribosomal RNA (194 nucleotides) under uncultured bacterium. Its description in RNAcentral is "partial 16S ribosomal RNA". It matches the Rfam family "Bacterial small subunit ribosomal RNA", at positions 338 to 524 of the family's 1533-position model. The record is from RNAcentral.